UACGGGGGGGGCAAGCGUUGUUCGGAAUUACUGGGCGUAAAGGGCUCGUAGGUGGCCAACUAAGUCAGACGUGAAAUCCCUCAGCUUAACUGGGGAACUGCGUCUGAUACUGGAUGGCUUGAGUUUGGGAGAGGGAUGCGGAAUUCCAGGUGUAGCGGUGAAAUGCGUAGAUAUCUGGAGGAACACCGGUGGUGAAGGCGGCAUCCUGGACCAAUACUGACACUGAGGAGCGAAAGCCAGGGGAGCAAACGGG
This 253-nucleotide ribosomal RNA is filed under the name uncultured bacterium. RNAcentral's name for it is "partial 16S ribosomal RNA". It matches the Rfam family "Bacterial small subunit ribosomal RNA", at positions 524 to 776 of the family's 1533-position model. The record is from RNAcentral.